Molecule: long non-coding RNA, 241 nt
Filed under: Neodiprion lecontei (redheaded pine sawfly)
Lineage: Eukaryota; Metazoa; Arthropoda; Insecta; Hymenoptera; Diprionidae
Description: uncharacterized LOC124292843
Source: RNAcentral
AUUUAUUGGUAUUCGAGGUAUAACCCGAGGUGGUUGGAGGUGGUCGGAGGUUUUUAGGAGUGGUUGCGGGGGAUCGAGGUGGACGAGGAGGACGAGGAUUUGUGCGCUGUAUGACCCGAGGUGGUCAGCAGUGGUCGUUGGAGGUGGUCGGAGGUGAUUGCGGGUGAUCGAGGUGGACGACGAGGACGAGAACUUGAGCACUGUACAACCCGAGAUGGUUAUCGGUGGUUGUUCGAGGGGG